Passer domesticus (house sparrow) is the source of this 538-nucleotide long non-coding RNA. RefSeq lists it as uncharacterized. The transcript has 2 exons. The record is from RefSeq and is a predicted model, not a curated record. NCBI's taxonomy places the organism in Eukaryota, Metazoa, Chordata, Aves, Passeriformes, Passeridae.
UCUGAAGUGACCUGAUGUUGCUCUGUAUGGGCAGGUGUCUGAAGCCCUCUAAAGUGGACAAAUGAGAUGAAAGAGCAAUAGAUAACGUCUAGCAAAAAAGGACUCAAUUAUCUGGCUACAAGAUAUUAGAUAAUCACUAUGCAAGCACCAACAACAUCACUCAUUCUCUGACUGGUUUGUCAGUUCUUGGUGUUCAUAAAACUAAUUCAGAAAAAUAUAUCAUCUGUGGGAUUACAAUAUUCAAAACAGGCUUUGAACCUCUACUCAUGCAGGCUUUUAAAUGUUUAUCUCCAAGUAAUGGGAGUAGUCAAUAUAAGGCAGGCAAGUCUUUGGCCUAUAGUAUAAGCAGAGCCAGGUCUUCUGUGGUUGUUAGCACCAUUACUUAAAUCAGAUAUGAAUAAUCAUCUGCUUAAGAUUUAUGUUUGUAGGGGCAAAAUGAAGCCACAUGAUUUAAAUUCGGUUUGCAUGUGUUGAGAGGCAUUGUGAUUACUAGAAACUCUUUUAAAAAUUCUCAAUAAAUUUAUAUAUAGAAAUGUUA